GACAGAGGCCUCAAGCGUUAGGCGGAAUCACUGGGCUUAAAGCGUGUGUAGGCGGAUCGUUAAGUGUCUUGUGAAAUCCCACGGCUCACCCGUGGAACUGCUGGGCAUACUGGCGAUCUUGGGCCAACUAGGGCAACUGGAACAAGCGGUGGAGCGGUGAAAUGCGUAGAUAUCGCUUGGAACGCCAAAGGUGAAAACAGGUUGCUGGGUUGUGCCGACGCUGGAGAACACGAAAGCCAGGGGAGCAAACGGG
RNAcentral lists this ribosomal RNA (253 nucleotides) under uncultured bacterium. RNAcentral's name for it is "partial 16S ribosomal RNA". It matches the Rfam family "Bacterial small subunit ribosomal RNA", at positions 524 to 776 of the family's 1533-position model. The record is from RNAcentral.